UACGGGGGGGGCGAGCGUUGUUCGGAAUUACUGGGCGUAAAGGGUUUGUAGGUGGUCUGCUAAGUCAGACGUGAAAUCCCUCAGCUUAACUCCGAAACUGCAUUCGAUACUGCCGUGCUUGAGGACUGGAGAGGAGACUGGAAUUUACGGUGUAGCGGUGAAAUGCGUAGAUAUCGUAAGGAAGACCAGUGGCGAAGGCGGGUCUCUGGACAGUUCCUGACGCUGAGGUGCGAAAGCGUGGGGAGCAAACAGG
This 253-nucleotide ribosomal RNA is filed under the name uncultured bacterium. Its description in RNAcentral is "partial 16S ribosomal RNA". It matches the Rfam family "Bacterial small subunit ribosomal RNA", at positions 524 to 776 of the family's 1533-position model. The record is from RNAcentral.